Molecule: long non-coding RNA, 27996 nt
Filed under: Phoenix dactylifera (date palm)
Lineage: Eukaryota; Viridiplantae; Streptophyta; Magnoliopsida; Arecales; Arecaceae
Description: long non-coding RNA (PDAC_LNC002776)
Source: RNAcentral
UUGAGCAUGGUCUAAGAUAUAAAAUUCGGUCGCACUUGUCAUCUCAUACUUUUAACAACUACAAGAUGUGUUAGAAAGAGCUUUGAAAGUGGAAUAUGAUAUGAAAAGAUCAGAACAAGAGAGAGGAGAUAGAAAGAGGCCGAGAUCAAUAGAAAGUUCAAAAUAUUAUGGCAAGAAUCAUCAUGGAUCUUAUCUUGAGAAGCUGGGAGCAUGUUUUACAUGCAACAAGGUGGGUCAUAUGGCAAGAGAUUUCUCUAUCAAGAAAAAAGAAAAUCCAAAAUCUACCAAACAAGCUGACCAGGAACACAAAGAGAAUGUACGGGUGUUCGCUUUGACCCAACAUCAUGCCAAUUCAAGUGAUCAAGUAAUGAUAGGUACCAUUCUAGACAAGUCCAUAGAUGCUCAUGUGCUAUUUGAAUAAGAUUCUUCUUAUUCUUUUGCAUCUCUCAAGUUUCCUACUUUUUUAAGCUGCAUAAUUGAAGAUUUGAAUGAGCCAUUAUGUGUUGCCAUUUCUCUUAAUAAAGUUAUUUUUACAGAUGUUUUAUUUAAGAUGUGUAUCACUUAGACGAGGAAGUUAGGGUUAAUACAAACCAAUCUAGAGUUUUGAGCCCUAGAAGAGUAAGAUCAGAUCAAAGUUCUGCAGCAAAAGUAUGGCGGAAUGUUAAAUGAAAGACAAAGUACCCCAAUUUGUUUAAGAAUUAAGUGUUAAGUUUCCCAUGUUAGCCCCAAGCAUGCUUUGCACAUGAUGGGUGGAAGACUCCCACGACGACUUCGACUCCGAGUCAGAAACUUAGGGACACUGGAGCCUUAGGUCUCCUCUAUAUAAACACCUUUUCCCCCCUCUAAGCCCUCCAUCGACGGUCAUCAGCUCUCCUUCUCUCUCUUUUCUCCCCUUGAUCUCAUGGUUGUCCGUCUUCGUGUUUGCCAAAAAUUGGGGCCGUCGGACACCACUAGAACUGAGUUAAUGCCCCAGCCUUUUUCCCCUUUUCUUUUUCUUCUUUCCAUGAUCUAGAAUCACGAUAGUUGGCCGAACAAUCAGCCAAAAAUCGACCGAAAAUCUGACCCCCAAUUUUUUUCCUAUUUUUGGCUGAAAUUUUUCUUCUUUUUCGGCCACUGAUGCCACUGUUUUUUAAUGUCGAGGCCUUGGUUGAGUCGGCCGACCUCCUUAUCUUCAUCCCUGAUCCGAGUCGGACCUCUAGUUGUCGGCAAGUGGGCUAGGACUCGAGAAUCACCGAGCCAAAAAAUUUCUCUAUUUGGCCCUAUUUUGGGUUGAUUUGUGCCGGCCGCCACCAUCGAUCACCACCCAUUGCCCUUCAUCACCUCCAAUUGCCACCUCGUCGAACCACCAUGACCAUGACCGUGGUCCGCUGCCUCCUUCCCCUGUUCUGCCAAGGAGAAGAAGAGUUUAAAAGGAAAGAAGAAGAAAAGUUAGAAAAGAAAAGAAAAAGAAGAAAGAGAACCUAUCUCUCUCUUAUUUCUUCUCUCUCUUCUUCCUCUUUCUCUCUCUAGGAGACUUAUGGAUCCCAGUACAGAGUCUUGUCGACCUAAUCUACGAACCUAAGUUGACCCCUGAAAAGAGGCUCUAUACUGCCUUGGUGCCCCGAAUGCCUAUUGGACCUAUCAUUUCGGCUCUGUUAAAUAUUCUUGGAUUCCACUCAUAAUGAAUCUUAUCGAAUGACCUUAGCGCUAAUCGAGUCCAUAUCCCAUGAUUCAUUGAUUGAGUUUCUUAGAUUUGACCUGCCUGAAGCUGCCAAAUGCUGUCACCUGACCAACCGUCUCCUUUUCUUAUUAUUUUAGUUUGAUUAAAAUCAUCGAAUAGAAAUUAAUCUUGCUUUUAAUAUUUUUAAAUAGGGCUAACUAAUUUACCUAGUAAAAUUUAUACAGGCGAAAGAAGUAAGUAGAUAUUACACUCAUUAUUUUUCAAAUGAUCAUAUUUUUCAUGCAUAAAAUUUGUUGAUGAAAAUAUCAUACUUUUUUUAAAAUUUACUGGUGGAAAUAUCAUGUUUUAUUAUGAAAAAUAGGUCUAUGAAUACUUUAAUAAAAAUAGUUCUGUUAUGAAAGCUGAAUCUGAUCAUGUUAUUUAGUAUUUUUUUAUCUAUUUAUGUAUAUAUUUUAAGAAAAGAUAUAAGUAUUUGAAAAGCUCUCAAAUUGCUAUGUAUGAUCUCUAUAAUUGAAAAAAUCGACAUAUGGAGUUAGCAUCCAUUAGAGCACAGGUCCUGCCAGUGGGUAUAAAGUUGACAUACAAAAUAAAAAUAAAUGUCGAUUAUGAACACAGACCCUGUCAUGAGUAUAAAGUAACUGUAGCACGAAUAUUUGUAAGCAAUAUUUUGAACUAUGAUAUAGCUAAAUGGUAGAGGGAUGGUUUUUGAAUAUAUUCUUGUAACUAUGUUUAUGAAAUUGAAUAAUUUAUGCAUGCAUGACUGGCUUUGUGACUUAUUUUAAUAUAUUGUACUAUGAAAUGCUUUAUUUUAUAAUAUCUGUUAUUUCUUUUAAAUAAUGCAUUGCUAUAAAAAAGCUUGAUCCGGUAAGGUAGAGUAAGAUUUACUUACUAAACUAUCACUCAUAUAUCUCUAUUUUUAUUUUUCUCUCUCCAGAUGAAUAAGGUCGAUAAGGACGAAGGCCCAGACUUAAGUUUGCGUUAGCAAGUUUGACAAUUUUGUAAAAAAAAUUUAGUAUUUUAAAUUGACUAAGAAUUUGUAGCUAAUGAUUUUUUAAAUAUUGAGGAUUAUGGGUUUGGUAUUUAUGUUUGAAUUUAGAUGCUUUGAACCAGUAUUCAAUGCAUUUUAUGGAUAAUAAAAUUAGAUUUUUAUUUAUUAUAUUUUGUUUGAGAUGAAUUUGGAAGUUAAAUGAAAUGUUUGGCUUUGUGUUAUCAUGGGUUGUUCCUCUCUAUAGUAUGGCCAUAUUACGUCCCGAAUUUCGUACGUGAUAGCUAAUGAUUGCUAUCACUUAUCAUCAAGAUCUCCACUAUAACCUACUACUUUUAACAAUUUACACCACCAACCACAACUGUUAAUUAUAGUUGACAAAAGUUAUUAAUGCACAUAUUUUUAAAAAGUGCUGUUUACAUAUUAUAAAUUGAUGAUGCAUAAAUAUUGAACUGAUUUUUUUCUGAAAAUAUUCAUUUUUGUAGGGAAAUAGAUAAGAUAUGCGGAUAUAAUGGCAUUUUGGUACCAUCAAAAAUGAAAAAUUCUAAGAAAUCAGAAGAAGUAAAAUUUAAAUUAAUGAAUGUGAAGAAGUGUCUAGUUAUCACGGUAAUAAUCGGCCAAGCUAGUACUUGUAGUGACUCUCUAUUUGAGUCUUGUAAUGGACAUAUGCUCAACUUUGCAAUAAAAUUUGCUUAUCAUGUUUAAAAUUAUGUAAGUGAUCUGAUCCCCUACAAAAAAUUAUGCAUGGUAAUUGAGCAUAUAUGGAUCAUCCAUUUUAAAUAUGUAAAUUACUGUUUAAUACUGUAGGCAUCAUCUUUUUGAAAAAUGUACAUAUAUCAUCUUCUUUAAAAGCAAACGUCAAUUCAAGAGCAUCAGCUAUUUAAGCCCAAUUUGAAAUGUACACAUCACUCGUUUAAAUUGUAUAGUGGUAACAUUUUAAUCUCUUAUAAUAUAUGCAUCAAUUGUCAUCCAAUAAAUGCCACCUUUUCAAGACAUGUUUAUCACCUAUUUAAAAUGUGCAUAGUAUUAAGCAUGUGUGAAUUGCCCAUUUUAAAUAUUAGAUAGUUGUCAAUAAUUGUUAGCAUAGUUAGUUGGUACCUCACCCCUACAAGAUUGCCUAUCAUGAGGUUCAAGAUUCAAAUCGUGGAUAUUACUCAAAAAUUAAUAUAUGUGUCACUUUUUAGGACAUUAGUAUCAGAUUCUUUUGUAUCGACUAUUUAAAAUAUGUACAUCAGUUGUUAUCUAAUGAGUAAUUCUCCUUUUUAAAUAUGCAUUUAUACCACUUUGAUAUCUUUCAAUAUGUGCAUUAGUUGCCAUCCAGUAAGUACUUCACCUGUUUAAGAUGCAUGCAAUAAUAAUUGGACAUGCUCCAUUUCAAAUAUGAGCAUCAAAAGCUUAUAAUGUGUGCAUCAUACUUUUAAAAUGUAUGCAUUAGUUAUUUAAAAUAAGUACUUAUAAUCUUUCGUAUCUAUAAUAUGUGCGUCAAGUAUACUAACAAAAGUUGUAUCAUCCAUGAGUGCUGUUCAAAAUGUACUCAUAAAAUUUGUAUACUAAUAAAUUAUGUAUAGAUUGUCCGUUUCAAGUAUGUUAACUAAAAGUUUAUAAUGUGUGCAUCACUCUAUUAAAACAUUCACAUUAGAUUUUAGUGUACAGCUAUAUGUCAUGCAUGUAUGCACGAUCAAUUUGAAACAUGUAUAUUGGCAGGGGCGGCCCAAUACAUUUNNNNNNNNNNNNNNNNNNNNNNNNNNNNNNNNNNNNNNNNNNNNNNNNNNNNNNNNNNNNNNNNNNNNNNNNNNNNNNNNNNNNNNNNNNNNNNNNNNNNNNNNNNNNNNNNNNNNNNNNNNNNNNNNNNNNNNNNNNNNNNNNNNNNNNNNNNNNNNNNNNNNNNNNNNNNNNNNNNNNNNNNNNNNNNNNNNNNNNNNNNNNNNNNNNNNNNNNNNNNNNNNNNNNNNNNNNNNNNNNNNNNNNNNNNNNNNNNNNNNNNNNNNNNNNNNNNNNNNNNNNNNNNNNNNNNNNNNNNNNNNNNNNNNNNNNNNNNNNNNNNNNNNNNNNNNNNNNNNNNNNNNNNNNNNNNNNNNNNNNNNNNNNNNNNNNNNNNNNNNNNNNNNNNNNNNNNNNNNNNNNNNNNNNNNNNNNNNNNNNNNNNNNNNNNNNNNNNNNNNNNNNNNNNNNNNNNNNNNNNNNNNNNNNNNNNNNNNNNNNNNNNNNNNNNNNNNNNNNNNNNNNNNNNNNNNNNNNNNNNNNNNNNNNNNNNNNNNNNNNNNNNNNNNNNNNNNNNNNNNNNNNNNNNNNNNNNNNNNNNNNNNNNNNNNNNNNNNNNNNNNNNNNNNNNNNNNNNNNNNNNNNNNNNNNNNNNNNNNNNNNNNNNNNNNNNNNNNNNNNNNNNNNNNNNNNNNNNNNNNNNNNNNNNNNNNNNNNNNNNNNNNNNNNNNNNNNNNNNNNNNNNNNNNNNNNNNNNNNNNNNNNNNNNNNNNNNNNNNNNNNNNNNNNNNNNNNNNNNNNNNNNNNNNNNNNNNNNNNNNNNNNNNNNNNNNNNNNNNNNNNNNNNNNNNNNNNNNNNNNNNNNNNNNNNNNNNNNNNNNNNNNNNNNNNNNNNNNNNNNNNNNNNNNNNNNNNNNNNNNNNNNNNNNNNNNNNNNNNNNNNNNNNNNNNNNNNNNNNNUCCUCCUCUCUCUCUCUCUCUCUCUCUCUCUCUCUCUCUCUCUCUCUCCACCUUCCGGGGGCCUUCUGUUGGCCCGGGGCCUUAGGCGACCGCCUCAGUCGCCUAAGGCUCGGGCCGGCCCUGUAUAUUGGUUAUCUAAUGUGCGCAUCUCCUUUAAAAGGCACAUGCAUCAACAAUGAUCGCCACCGCUAUCAUCAGUAGUUGUGAGUGGUGGUAGGAUCAAUGAUGGUGGUGGGCAAUGGUAGAUCUUGUUAACAAUGAUAGGCAAUGUUCAAGAUCCCAAUGGUGGAUAUUAUCGAUAGUGAUGGGUUAUGGUGGAGAUCAUCAAUGAUAGUAGAUGACAAUAAAGCUCAUUAGUCGUGAUGGGCAAUGAUGAGAAAUAAUUGAAAUCACUAACAACAGUGAGUAGUGGUAGAGAGUAUUGAUCAUGGUAGACAGUGGGGAACAUCAUUAGUGGUGAUGGGUGGUGGUGCAUAUCAUCGCUUUAGUUAUCAUCUGGCGAGUACAUCACCCGUUUAAGGUGCAUGCAACAAUAAUUGGAUGCAUGGAUAGUCCAUUUCAAAUGUGAGCAUCAAAAUCUUAUAAUGUGUAUCAGACUUUUAAUAUGUGUGCAUUAGUAUAGUAUGAUAGUGUAAUAUUAUAGAAAUCUAAUAAUGUUUUAUUAUUAAAAUAUGAUUAUUAUGGUAAUACCUUGGCAUUACCAUAAUAUUAGUAUAAUAUAAUAUAAUAUUUAUAGUAUAAUAAAAUAAAAUUAAAUAAUAUGAUAUGAUAUAAUAUAAUAUAAUAUAAUAAUAUAUUAAUAAUAUAUUAUAUUAUAUUAAUAAUAUAUGUAUUAUUAGUUAAUAAUUGUGAUACAAUAUUUUGAUAUAAAGUAUUAAAAUUAUUAUUAUUUCAUAUUAAUAUAUUAUUACAAACUCUAAUAUUAUUAUAAUAUAUGAAUGAGAUAAGAUCAUAUUAAUAUUAUGUGGUAUAAAAUAUUGUUAAUUAUAAUUUAUGUAUUUUAUUUCAAUAUAAAGAUAUAAUAAAUAAUGUAAUAGCCAUAAAGUUUGAAAACAUUUUGGUCACACAAAUAAAUUUUCGUGGAGAGAAGCUUUAGUUUGGAGCUUUUGCCAAGCGGAGAUUUUUCAACUUCUAAGAGGAUCAAGAAGCUAUUUCAAGUUUUUUACCAAACACCCAUGUAUCCCCUCGAAAUAUUUUUUGGGUUCUAGAGAUGAUUUUGGGUCCUCCAAAAACAAUCCUAAAUGGGACCUAAAUGUUCUUGCUCCUGGACUGUCAGAUCAUGUAUUUGCAGCUUCACUCAUUCAUAACAGCUAUAGAGCAAACAUAGCCAGUACAAAAAUUAUCUUAUUGUUUUUUAUUACGUUGUAAUUAAUGCCUGACUAAAUGUUUAAAGAAAUUGCUACUCAGCUAAAAUGAUCGUGCAUCUUCUCACUACCCUGCUUGACAAGCAUGUGUUGUAUCAGCAAAUAGACCAUAGAUCUCAAGUCAUGAGCACUCUCAUAUUUUCUAGGUUGAAAUAAAUGUGUUCCCCCAUCAUAAGGCAUCAGUAGAACAUUGACUUUCUAAAUUUUGUGACAAAAUAUGUUACUUUUUUCUAUGUUAAAUUGCUAGUAUCUUUCUUAUAAAGAAACAUCAUAAUUCGAGGAACAUAUUGAUGUCCAACAAAUAAAGACUGAUUCCAAGAGUAUCACUUUGUCCCCGAGAGGGGUUUAUGCAAAGGUAUACCAACCAUCACCCACUUUUUCUCAUGUCAUUUUUUUAUGCACACAUAAAAAUGGCCUAGCAAAAGCCCCGUCUCCGUGCUCAGAUGCUAGGUUCAAAUGAGGAUAACAUAUUAAAAUAUGGGCUAGCUAAGUCAUGCUAGCCAGAACUGGGCGUAGUCUUCUAAUCGCAGAGUUCCAAAUUCGAAUCGCACCGCACGUCGAUUAAAAUAUGGUGACAUUGCUUGGACUUGGAGUUUAGAAGCGCUUAUUAGUCCACUAAUAGCUUUGGUGGUGCCAGGUAUGACGUACUCACUUUCGGAUGGAGAGAGUAUGACUAAAACGGUGUCUACCCACAUCGAAUACUCUCCUAACGGGGCGAAGGCUGCUACGCGGGGGCAAGUUGUCCGUUCCUCCCCCCUAACCUUUUUUGUUUGGCAAAAAAAAAAAAUCAUGCUGCUUACAGCCUGUUUCCAAUAGUACAAGGGAAAAAAUCGACACCAGGGCACGACACUGCAAAGGGAUGAGAAUUGUAGAGAGUGGCAUUAAGCCUGCAACUAGUUUUAUAGAACCUUCCUCGAUCUGCAUGCCUACCCUCGUUUUAGAAUCACCCACGGAGAUGAAAACGUUGGUAAUGACAACUUCUAACCAAAUUAAAUGAAGCUUGCCUGGGAAUUUUCUGAGUUGUUCAUCUAGACCAAUGUGUGCAUCUCUAAAACAACUUCAUUUGCGCCGUGGAUGAAUGCCACUGGGUAACAAUCUCCAUAUCAAUGCCAAAGGUAAUCAGAUCUCAUGCUUGGCAUAAUCAGUACAAUGAAACCUAGCCCUGUAUGACUGCCACCAACAAAUGCAGCAUUGCAUGGCUAACACCAAGGUCGCAAGCAAAUGAGUAGCAUGAUGGUGCAGUCUUUCUUUUACACAUCCUGAUGAUGAGUUAAAAAAGUACUUUUGAGUUGUGGUUUGUACAAAUGAAGAGUUUUCUUAAAUUAAGACGGGUGAGCCUAGUUGUGCCCCACAAACUCAGCAUUCAGUCCUACAUGUCAUGGUUCCUUUGUAGUUUGUGAAUGCCCCGCCAGAACUGCUCUAGGUUCUUCCAUUCUCAACUAGGAAAAGAUUUCUUUGUGCGCAAUACUAAUUCUUGUUGGCUGUUUGGAGCAGAUGUGCCUGUACCUUGUUUGAAAAAUAGUUCUCAAGCCUGUGUGGACAAAAAGGAAGAAAGAGAAAAACCAACUUAGCAUGCUGAUAUUGAAGAAGUACAAUGUCAUGUAAUGAUGUACAUCCCAAUAAUGAAAAUGUAGGGUUUGGGCGUAAUUGAUGCACCUUGUUGCACAUUUAUAGUAGAUAGUUUCAGGGGAGUUGUAGGUCCGAGCAUUUGCAAACAUUCUCUUGACAUCAGCAACAAACAUCUCAAAAGUAACAUAAUACUGUUCUGACUCUACUCUCUUUGACAUGGUCCUCAAAUCUGCAUGAACAUAUGUACAUCAAAAUCAGGUUUAAAGAAUUGGAGUUCCUGAAAUAAAAGCAAGUUCUACCACCAUCUUUUCUUACUUAUUUUUCGAGCUUUUGACAUUAGAAGGAAAUGAAUGUGGAAAACUUCAUGAUAUACAAACAGUACACCACAUAUUACCAAAUAAUACUCAGUUUAUCACCAUGAGUGUAUAAACCACCAUUUAACACUUCAAAGCUUGAAUUUUCCAUUCAUAUCCUUUCUUCCUCUUCUUUGGCCUACUUAUAAAGCAGUUUUUCACUAAAGUUUUGCAAAAUUCCAACAUACAUCUUUUAUUCCCCUCUGAGACAGAGAAACACAAUCUUUUUUUAUUUUAUUUUAUUCCUUAUCUCCUUUUCUUCUCCCUUGUCACUAUUUUAUUUUACUCCUUACUUUCCUUCAAAGUUUCAAUAACAACAUUUGCCAUUACAACAGAUCUUAUGGAAAUGGAUAUUGUCCGUUAAAACGGCCAUUUCCUCUCCCAACCUAUGCUAUUUUGAAUUAUUUAUUAUAAAACUAAUAACCAUGAUAACAGCGAUUAACAAUAUUAUAAUGAAAUAUAACAUACUCACUCCUUCCUUCAAGGUUUCAGUAACAAUAUCAUUUGGUUAUAACAGACCUUAACAGAGACUGUUAAAUGGUUAGGAUGGCCAUUAUUUGCCAAGCCUAUGUAAUUUAAAAUUGUUUACUAUUAAAUAAUGAUCACGAUAAUGACUUUCGUAAUGCCAUUUUUUUUAUGAUUGUUAUAACAAACAAUAACAGAAAACAAGGUUAUAUUUUAAUCCUUCCUUUACCUUUGGUUUCAAUAAGUGCUCUUUCAUUAUAACGAAUACUACAGAAAUUUUUAUUGACUGUCAUAAAGGUUACAUCAGCCAUUACUUUCCACAACUUAUGCCGUUUAGUUUUGUUUAUUAUGAAAACAAUGACUGUAAUAAUGGUCAUUAUAACAGCACUGUAUGGAACUUGCCAUGAAUCAUGCCGACCUUGUGAAUCAUGCUAAUCCCCUAUCAUCACAUGGCAUGUUAGCUACAAGUUGUGAAGGGCUUCUUUUUUUGGGUAUGAUUCAUGGCGUUAUUCAUGAAAACUAUAGAAUUCAGAAAAUAUUGCAAAUAUAUAUAUAUAUAUAUAUAUAUAUAUAUAUAUAUAUAUAUAUAUAUAUAUNNNNNNNNNNNNNNNNNNNNAUAUAUAUAUAUAUAUAUAUAUAUAUAUAUAUAUAUCUGACAAAGGUCACUUUUAAUUUACUACAACAUUGGAAUAUAAAUAUUAUAAAUAUAAUUUAACUAUUGAAAAGUUACUUAAUAGGUCAGCUAAAAAAAGCAGGCAUCCCCGCACCUGCAUGGCAUGUGCUGGAUUCACUAGCAUCUACAAAAGAGAAGGUAUCAGUGAUUUUGCAAAUUAAAAAGAGGUAAGCCGCCUUCACUUUAAAAAGUGAAUCAUUAACAAGCCAUUUUAAAUGAAACAAUUCAUUCAUGUAAAAGUUAUCAAAAUAUUUUCAUAUAGAAUCCAGAUUUCAGAGUGCUUUACUCGAAAUUAGAUAAAUAUUCAAUGUUGUUUUAGUUGGUAAAAUGAAAAGCUAAGAAUCCAAUUAGAGGAUGAUAUAAUAGAUGAGGUUGUUUAAUGUGCACCAUCAUGAGUAUGCAUGCAUAUUUAACACUUUGAUUUCUUCUAUUAGUGCCACAAGUCCUUCAAAAUAACUUGUCAAAAUAUUGAGGCUGAUUAGUAAGAUGCAUCUUUCUUCUCAUAAUUCUUAACAGAAGCCAUUUGGCUAGCAAUCUGCAUGGGUUUUCCUCUCGAUGAGAAUUCGUAAUUGCAUUUCUGCUCCUAAGGAUAUCUGUGAUGUGCUAGUAUUGAGAAAUGCUAAAACUUUAUAUGAGUUCAUUACAUUUUUGAAAUGAAUUCCAUAAAGAUAACUAUAAAUAACAUUCAACCAAUUAAGAAAUCAUUAUCAAUUACAAUCUUUGCAGUUCCUAUCAAUAAAGAUAGGGAGGACAACUAUUUUCUCUUUUCCAAUGUGUUAUAUAAUUUUUUAAAUUCAGUAUUUUGGCUAUAGUUGUUAUAUAACUUUGUCUUUCACUAAUCUAUUUGAAACUUCUGGCAUCACGGAUUGAAUGCUAAUGGAAAUGAUAACAUGUAUUUUUGUCAAAUCAAAUCAGUGUAUUGAAGUUCAGAAGGUACCUGGGCUAUAUUGAAUACAAGGGAACUAUAUUAGCUCAACUGAUUCUUGUCUAUUUGUCUAAUGGAGAGCCUGGCAUAGAAGGAAAUCAUCGAUAUGAAAAUGCACAAAAUUAUAUGGAGUACUUCGACAAAUAUAUGGAGUCAGUGGAAUCUGGAAAGUGGGGCCCAUUUUACUACUACGACAUGAUAAGUAUAGCUGACAACCUCAGAAAACAGAAGAUUGGUAAGGGAAUAAUUCGAGUUAUGCUACUACGAUCCAAAAAUGGGACAGAAAUGAGGGGAGAGCUUAUGUGGCAGGCUCUUGAUAGCUGAAUACCUUUUAGAUAAAUGGUAGAAACGGGGAUUGUGGGAAGGAGAAAGUGACACAAAGCCUUUUCUUCUUCCUUGAUUUCUUUCCAAUGGCGGAAAGUCAAAAUUUUGAUUACUAGAGAAGAAAACUAGUGAGAGGCCAGAAUCUAUUUCUUGCCAACCUCCUUCCUCUUCUACUCUGUUUCAACAGAGUAGAAUUUCUACAGGACUAUAGUCCAUUUGAGGCGCUCUCUUUUAUCUCGAUUGAACCUAUAUCACCGCCAUUAACCUCAUCUUCAAAAUAUGAUCUCUUUUCUUCAUCAAAACUGAUCUCAUCCUCAAUGGUUCUAGUGGGUUUGAAGGAGACUGAUCUCUGUGACUCUGUCAGUGAAAGAUGAGGUCGAUGGCUGUGACAGAGAACCACUUCAGCAUUUGCCAUCAUGUCUGCUGCCAACAUGGUCCAAUUUCAACCUUGAAACUUCCCUUGAGGUGUUCCCUUCCUAUCCAUCGGAAUAGAAAAUAUUCAUAAAAAAUCAAUUUGUGAAGAAGACGAAGAAGUAAAUAAAUGAACUAGACUGUGUUGUUUGCCUCUGUUUAAUAGGUAAAAUGGUGGGAUUAUCCCAAUAACUAAUGAAUUAAUACAAAACAAGAUCAGGAAACCCAUGGAUCAGAUAGGAACAAAAAUAUUGCAGAGCAUAUAACAAGAGACUCUUAACCCUUACUACCAAAAAAAAUAAGAAAACAACCCUUAACCAUAACAGGUGAAAGCAAUUCUGCCGUUUUCCCAUCCUUCUCUUUUGAUUAUGAAAGAUUUAAAGAGGAAGCACAUCACACAUCUAGAUCUGGUUUUAGAACUUAGGAGUCUGUGUGGUACCACAUCCUCCUAGCCUUUUUCCCUGAGAUUUUUGUGUGAUUUGAAGAAUAGUUUUGCGGUGGUGGUUGUUAAAUAAUCAAAUAAGCAUGCAUAUUAGGUGUUGGCCACUUGCCUACCCGUGUCAUCCUCUUCUUCUCCCAUCUUCAAUAGUUGGCUUAUUAAAAAAAAUUAUCCAACAAGAGAAAAUAGAGGUAUUAGGUAUUGCAUAAGAAUACACGCUAAUAAGUUUUCCUUUGGUGAAAGGAGAUCUCCAACAGGAUGGAAUAUAAAUCUCCAUUUUCUUUCUUCCAGUGGAAAAGGAGAAUGGGAGGCAGGACAUACGUCAGCAUUUCCAUUUCUGGUGGAAGAGAAGAAAGGGAAGGGAAUAUUUUAUAAUUCCAGUAUUAUCCUUUAACUUUUCUAACAAGUUAAUUAAGGGACACCUCAAUAUGCCAUGUAAGCUGCCCCCUAUUUCUGUCACAAAAAUGGGUUUGACUAGAAUUUUUCAAAUAAUUAACAACCUUGUAAUUACUAUAUUAAUCAAUGUUCAUAGACAAAAUUUUGUCAGUACUAGUGAGUAUGCUGGUCACCUGCUGGAAACAGUACAAUGCUGAAACAAAAGAAAAGAAAAAGAUUUUAAACUAUCUAAAAAGAAGUUAAACGAGUGUUGUGCUGAAAUCAAUGUGCACAUGUUGAACCAAGGUCCGCCGAACCGGUACCGAAACCCAUACCGGUCGGCAGACGGACCUGCACAGUACCAAACCUGGUACAAUACCAAUUUUGGUACCGUACCGGCACACGGUACACUAGAGCUUUCUAUUCCGUACCAGCACGUCCAUUUUUUUUAGUUUUCAAGUUCAAUUAAUUGACAAUCAAUCGUUUUCAACUUUCUUAAUGAUUUUAAGUCUAAAUUGAUUUUUUUUGAUAAUUUUUGAUGUUUUUGAGAUUUCUGUGAUCCCGAUUUAACCUAAAUUAUACAUCUUGUUGUUUUAAAAUGAUACAAACCAUAAAAUAAUUAAUGAGAUGUUGCAUGCUACAAGAAGCAACAUGAAAUAUCCUCAAAUCAAGUGGUGAGGUGAAAAUAUAAAAUAAUACUAUUAAUUAUAGAUAUUUAAAGUACAACAUACAUACCGAUAUCUAAAAUCUCGUUGCGUGACGGUGCCUCUCGUAGAUAUCCGAAUCAUUAGCAGAGUCAGAAAGUACAUCAGCCCGUCCCUCUAACCAAGUGGCAUUGUAGUCUUGUAUGUUCAUCCCAUAAGGAACGUACUCCAGGUUACAAGCACUCUCAGAUCUCUCACUGAAGCUCUGGCUUUGAGAGGUGUCCUCUGGCUGAUAAACUAGCUGAUAAAACGGCCAUAAAGGAGCUCAUUUGAAUAAGCCGGCAGCAAAAUUCGAUCCAUAAGAUGCUCUGAACUUCAUAAGGUAGUAACCACCGAAAGAUCCUCAGACGCACCACAUUCAUAUCUUUAUCUGUAUGGGUUAUAGGUUGUCUAUGCCUAUAGAUAAUAUGAUUCUAUAUACGUCUAUGGAUCCUACUCCACGUGCGAGGUCAUUUGCAGCUACAUCGUAUCCUCCUGAAUGACCUCAAAAAGCCAGUCUCCUAUAUGCAAUAGGAUCCAAGCGGGCUCCACCAGAUCGUGCACCGUGAUCCCUACCGUGUGUAGUAUGCAUAAACUGGGACUCACCAAUGAAUCGAAGACUACCCUGCAGGUGUGUCUCAUAAACGGUGGUCUUAUGUCCUCUACUCUCUUUCUAACUAGCAAAUCCAUGACCACCAGAACAGCUGUUACUGGUCUCUAAAUAUGAAUGAACUAGCUCCUCCACACUCUAUUGGGGUUGCAGGUAGCUUUUGUUAUCCUUCGUGCCACUCACUGCCUACUCAUACUUCGUGCCACUCACUGCCUGCUCAUCCUUCAUGUCACUCGCUGCCUGCUUACUCUUCAUGUCCCUUCGCCUGGCUAUAUUGGGAGGAUGUAUGUUGUCCUCCUGAUCAAGUCGACCGAGUAACGUAGUAGCCUCAUGUAAGCAUCUCUCGAUCAAUUCUCUGAGAGGAUGUCUCUGACAAGGGAGUCAUGUGGUGAUCGACUCUCCUGUGGUUGUGGCUGAUCAGCUGGAAGGAUGCGUGGAAUAUCUGUCUACCUAUUGCCCUGCAUUAACCCUAGCCUCGCUGGCUACGAAACUGACCCUUCCAUCUUCACAACACCUUUUAACAAACGAAGCAAAGGGGGAGGGAGCUCGAUUGUAAAUUGGGUCGACUUGGUGCAAACUGGACCCGGCCGAUUCCGGUCAAUUCGGUCCUGUUUGGGCCUUUUCCGGCCGGUUCCGGUCGGUUCGGAAACCAUUUCAGCUGGUUCGGAGCUGGAACCGAUUUUAAUGGGCAAACUGAUCCGGUUUCCCAUCGGGUCGGCUUGGUACGGGCCGAAUCGGACAGUUCACUCUGGUUCGGCCUACCACGUGUUGAACUUUUGAACCAUAGAGGCUAAGUAUCAUAAAAGAUUAUUAUCUGCAAGCAUUAUAAAAUUGCAAACAUUUUAAGUAAACAAAAAAAAAAAAAAACAUAUGCCCAUAUGCAUAUUCAAUCUUCUACUAGGUAACAUAUUGUAAUCUAAUAAUUAUGAAAAAGAGAUACAAGAUUUGCAAGGAUGCAAUGGAGCUGAAGAAGAUUAGAUAUUAUGAAUGCAAAACAACACAAGUCUUCCACACUUACCCAUCGGAUCUUUAAUGAUAUCAUAAUAAUCAGGCACAUCACGUGCAUCUACCGGCUCCCUAAAUGGCCAAGCAUCAGGAUGCUCAUUCAUCAUCUGUUAGAAAGCCAUCUUAAAAUCAUACUUGCAUAAACUCACACAUGAGCUAAUAAACAUAUAGAAUUUUCAUGGUGAGUCCAAAUCAGAAGUUAUGGUUAAUGGUAUUAGCAAGCACUCUGUCUAUAUUUGAUAUGACUCAUAUCAGAAGCAUAGGAGUCACAAAAAUAAGGGGGAAGAACUGUCUAAGUUGUUGUCGACAUUGACAAUAGGGGUGGAGGCUUGCCCAAUGCAUAGAGGGUAUCAGAUAUAGGUUAAAGGGCCAUGAAGGGUCGGCAAGGUCAACAAAGACUCAGAAAACUGACAACAAUUUUACGUUUCAGAGGUUUGGGAAUUGAAAAACCAAUGGAAAACUAGGACCCAAAAGAAAGUAUGUAGUAAUUCCAUGUUAAAAUGCUGGUUAAUUGAUUUCAAUGCCAUGAACUCCCUUAUAUAAACAAUCUAUUUAUGGUCACAACUUGCCUUUAGAAGACCGCGCAUAAAGGCAUUCAGCUGUUGACGAUAGGCAACACUAUCUGUUGCAUUUGCUGUCUUGAACCUUGAGUGGCCCCACUGGUCUGGAGUCCACCCAGCCUCUCCUAUUUAUGAAAAUAACACCACAAAUAAGAAAGCUGACUGACAGCAUCAACGGCCAAAACCUAUUAAGGUUACCAUAGAUCAAUAACAUAAACUCUUGGUUUGAUAGUGUACAAUUAGCACAUAGCCACAGCAAGAAAUUCAUGUAAUAAUACAAGCAUGUGCAUCUAUGAAAAUAAAACACUAUGCAAAAGCUAGCCUCUUUACUAAAAUAUCAAAUAGAUGUUAGAGUUAGAAAUAGACAACACUCCUUACUCUUUAGGGUUUCCUGUGUCCAACCAGUUGCUUUAUAUAAUCUCCAAUGGGUUCGUCAAAUGGUUUUGUUUUUUAGGCUGGGCCUGCACUACUUUCAGUUUCUUACAACGUCUUCAAAAAAGGCAUUAGCAAUAAGAUAGUUAACGUUAAAAGUAAAUUAAGCAUCACAUUGUGGAGUCAUUUAUGAUGGAAAGUGGCUCAUUAAGUGUUUGAUAGUUGACAUUCAUCUGUUCAUCGUGAAAUAUAAGCAAUGUGGAUAUCCAUCUUGUAAGGAAAUAUAGGAUAUAGAAGACAUUACGCAUGGCUGAGCUUAUUCAUCAAGCAAAUUUAGCCUAUGCUCAGUUAUUUGGUGGUCUGAUCAGGAGCAUCAAAGUGAGAUAGCAGAUGCUUAUCUUCCACAGUCAGAGUGGAAAGGCAGUUCGCAUUUAUAUGGUCAAAAAGAGCUCUUCUUUGCUAAUAAGUUGCUACAUGGUAGCUACUACUGGGGCCCAAACCUUAUCUAGUAAGUGAGAACUAAUAGGAGAAGCUAUAAGCAGAGGCAAAAUCUGCAUCACAGCUUUCCAGGGUCAAAAAAUAAAUGUCCUAUCUUUUGCAAGGUCAGAAUUUUCCUGGUUAAUCCUUGGCAACCCAAUGAAUUGUGAAAACAAUUUUCAAAAACUAAUCAUAUAUAGUAAGUGACUAAGUUUAAAGUUUUAGGUUUUCAAUUCCAUUUCUAGUAAGCAUUUGUUAGUCAAAAUGUUCUUAGAAUGCUCAAAUAUGAUUUGAAAUGGUGGCAGUCCACGGGAAAAAAAUUACCAAGACUUUUAAACAAAUACAUAAACAAGUUAAUAGCAUGUAUGAUCCAUGUUUUGUAAAAAGUUAUAUAUUGGAUGAAAGAAAGAUGCUAACAUAAAAGUCAAAGGCAUGCUUGUUUCACAAUGUCAAAGCAAAUGCAUCAUUUAGAGAGACAGGAAUAUACAUUUCAGCUAAAAAAACAUAAAAAUGUAGUUAUUGGACUACAACUAUUCCUAAAGUUAAACCUGAAAAGGUAUAUGCCGGUGGUUUUACUUACGGAGACCAGGAAUAUCUUCAACUUUUAUAGGCUUCCUAGGUAUACCGGCAUCUUUCUGAGCAUAAAGAAGAUGUUAAUUAGACAUAAUUCUUAAAGGAGACCACUCUUUCAAGAUAAUACAAUACAUAAGGAAAGAUAUUAACUACUUCAAGCAAUUAAUAUGGUUCAAAGUUCUCAACCAGAACAGUAAAGGUGUUAAAAGUAUAGGGUUAAUUCAUUUUCCACUUGCUAAAUCAAUUUCUAUCCACUUUCCCACACUUUGAUUCUUCUUCUUGGAGUCAGAGCAUUGCAUGUUUUUGUAUCUGACACAUGCUGAGGCAUCUACAAGAAGAAGAAGAUUGAAAUAAGGUAUAUGACAACCCAAAAUCCACAUACAAACAACAAAAUGCUUAAAUGAUCAGCUUUGGUCAUGGGAAUGCUGUGCUCAAUCCCUUGUCCUAUAAACUAUCAUGCUUGUAGGUCAGUUUGAAUAACUCACAUGGCCGCUCUCAGUGAAUGCUAACCAUAAGAAGGCAAUGGUGAUACUUAACCAUCAGAAUUUUAACUUUGCAUCAGCAUGCUGUUAGUUUGGUAUCUCUUAUAUGUUUAUAGGUUGAAUAUAGAGCAUGUCUGAUGGAGAUCCAAGAUCAUGCUAUUAUGAUGCAUUGGAGGGCUGCAACUUAGGGAUUCUUCUUAGAUUUAAUUGUAAUUGUCAAUUUACAGCAUUUUUCUUUCAUCUUGUUGAUUUUUAGUUUCUAGUGGGUUAUUAUGAAUCAAGGGCUAAGAUUAAAUGAUCUUCGAUCUAAUUUAACCACUCGACAAGCCAAAUAUCUGUCAUGAUACUGUUCACACAGCGCUAUUUAUGCUACAAUAACCAUGGAAAAUAACUGGUUCAUUAUAAGAUUAAAGACUUUAAAAGACCAAUAGGGGUUUCUUUUUCUUCAAAUACAAAAGUUAUGUAAUCAGAAUUUAUGCAAAAGAUGGAUCAAAUUUGAGUUUUCUUUUCCCCUAUAGUGUGAUGCUGUAGAACAAGCAUGAGGUUUGCAACUCAAGAUGUGAUUCUGAAGUCCUUGAGUAAGUCCCAUAUCAUCCUCCCUUUUCCCUUUACCCUUUGCUUCUCGUUAUGUAUGUUCCCAUAGACCUCGUGUCAUAUAUGUACCAGAUAAUAGACCUUCCAUCAUUCCAACUGUUCAAUUCCAUAAACCCUUAAAAACUCGAUUUCAGCUUUAGAAUCCAAAACAAUGUCUUUGAUAAUAGUCAUCAGUUACAUAUUUACUUCAAGAACAUUAUAUUUCUAGUUCACUUUUUUAACAAAUUUGGGUCUAAACCCAAACUCCCAGCAACCUAUAAGUUUUAGCUCUCUUCUAACCCUCAUAGGUUCCUUCCUGCAGACAAUCUUACAUGAACACCUGGUUAAAACUACAUGUCAUGGUAAUGUUACUUCUUAGUUACAUAUGUUGCAUGUUCUCAGACCUAAAAGAUCAACAUAAUGCAAGAUCCAGUCAUCAUCUUCGGAGUGCUAGAUAGUGGACAAAUUUAGUCAAUCACAUGCAGUGGCAUGUUCAACAAACAGGAUUAUCAUCAAUCGAAAUAAGAUACUCAUCAGGGAAACCAUGGCCCUAUACAAGAGAGCAGAACAGAUGACAUUGAAAGGUAUGUUCCGAUCAUUAGUUUUGCAGGUGAAUUUAUUUAAUAAGAUGCAACAAAACUAAUCCAAAAAUAUAAUGAAAUUCAUCGCUACAUAUUAAGUCUGUUAUUGGUCUGAUGUCUGGUGAUGUUGUCAUGCAUGACAAAGACCAACAUGUGAUUGUUGCUAAUAGAAAUUCAUGGGGAAAAAUGUUGUCAUGUGAAGUAAGAAGUCUGAACUCUGAACCCUAGUCACAAGAAUUAGUUAGUAAAUAUAUCCAUAAGACUUGUAUUACAGAAGUGCUAUUCAAAUAUAUAAAAAAAUAGUUCCACUGGAUGUCUUUUUAUAGCAUUUUGAGUAAUAGUACUCAUUUGAUAAUUGUUCAAGUAUACAUGACUUUUUGCCAUUCGAUUGAAUGGAUUACAAACUUAAGACUUCUAACCUGAAAAAGAAAAUUACUUUAUGAUUUUUACCUAGACAUGCAGACAUUUAGACACAUGCACAUGUGCAUUACACGUACAUAUACAUACAUACAUACAUACAUACAUACAUACAUAUAUAUAGAUAUAUACAUACAUACAUAGUAAAAAACCAUUAAAAAUGCAUAUAUGUACAGCUCUGGUUCGUAACUGUACACAUACAAACAUUAUUCAGAAAAACACAUUCUCCACAAUUCCUUAGUCAUUAAUGCAGAUAAAUGAUGCAAAAACUUUAAAACAUGAUUCUGUCAAAUUCACCCAAGUGUAAGGUUUUAUUAGGACUAAUAAAAGCAUCUUAUUAAUUUUUGUAGAAAAAACUAAUCACAAUUGAUGACAAGCACAUGUGAGACCAACUUCUGGGUAGUACAAGAAAAUAAAACAGUCAAGAACAGUGCAUGAUUUGAUUACUAGACUUGUUAUCAUAAUCAAGAUUCGCCAUUUUGUUACCAGACCCCGUAGUGGUACCAUCCUAGUAUAGUAUUAGAAUGCCCAGUACAAGGCUAGUUCGACGUAGUUAGACCUGGUACAUCCUCCGUAUCGAGUCUCAAUUUAGUACCAGUAUGGUACUGCCGGGUAUAGGACAUUAUACACCAUUAUGGUCAACCUUGGUCAUAAUAAAAGCAGCUCCCUGCAUAAUUCAAUUGGAAGAUUCACAGAUGGUAUGUCUUUAGUAGUCCAAAACAAAGCACAACAAAUAAUUAAGGAUACUUCCUUCAAGGAAUUAUUUCUCAAUGUGUGAAAAAAGCAUAUUAUUUGGAACAUCAACCAAAAAUAAUUAAACAAGUAGGAAAGGUCAAGGUCAACAUCACAAUGAAGGGCCACAUACAACCUUUUGAAAGUCAAUUCCUGCAUAAACAAUGUGACAGUUGGAGAGUUCUCUAAUUUUCUCAUCAAUUGCCUGCAAAUUCACACAAAAAAAAAAGAAAGAAAACACAUAUUCAGGUAAUGAGUCACACAAAAAAAAGAAAGAAAACACAUAUUCAGGUAAUGAGGAACUUCCUGUUUUUCUGGAUAAUAUAAUUUCUCUACUUAAACUUUUCUCAUGAAAGUAUUAUUUCUGCAAAAGCUUCUAAAAGCUAAGAAGAUUUACAAAAAAGAAAUAGGGCAGAAAAAGAUGUAUUAAAAGAUGAAAAUAAUAAUAAAGACAUUUGUGAAGCUCAGAAGAGUGAUAAAAGAUUGAAUACACUAGAGGAAUUAAGGAAGUCACAAGAUUAGCGAGCAAACUAGUUAACUGGUUGAAACAGUACAACAUGCAACAAAAAUUAGAAAAGUUUAAAAAGUGGAAGAUGCUUGCAUUUGUGUUGAAAGGUCCAAAAUGAGGAAGGAUGCCUGAUAUACCCAGUCAAAAGCUGGAAAGAAGGACAUGGAAAAUCUUCUGUUGUUGUUGAGGUCAAUAUAAUUUAAUGACUUAACAAAUUAAAACUGGCCCCAAAUUUUCUUUAUCAUAAUAAUGGGAAAGUUUUCCGAUGGUCCGUAGGCAAAUUGGCCUAUAAGUUGUUUCUGUAAUUGAAAACUGAAGCUGGUGAAAGAGUUCUAGAAAGGAAACUCUUGCAGGCAUUUGUGAAUACAUGGUUUUGUCUCAAUCUCACAAUUGUAGGGCUGUCUCUGAUUUGAGGUAACUAAAGCAUAUCCAUCAAAAUUUUCUUUUUCCUUUUGGAUCACAUACAUCCAUCAGACAUUCCCUCCUCCUGAAUCAACUGCAUUAAAAGAUUGAGAACUGAAGCAUAUUUGGUGGCAGAUAACUUUUCCUCCCUUAGGAUUUAGGAGAGACCAAAACUUUUCUAGAGGUAGAAACAAAAGAAUGAGUGAUUGAGUCUUGAUAAUAAUAACUUCAACAAUUAUUAGAAUUAUCGCCAUAAAGUUCCUCAUGAUCCUCCCUAGGAUCAUGGCUAUUGUCAACUAGACAAUAAGAUGGACAUCAUGAUUGAGUGAGAAAAAAAAAACACUUGUUCAAUCCCAACCCUUAGAUCUAUAGAGCUUGACCCAAGUGGUAAUACCAAACACCAUGAAUGUUUGAAAAAGAAAUAUCUAAAAGAAGGGUGACUAUGUAACCAUGCACUUACAUAUAGUUCUCACUUAAGGCAGACAAAAUUUUAUCCAACCAUCAACUAUUGUCUUGGUUCCUAGAUAAUCAUAUUAUUACCUCUAGGCUAUAAUCACCAAUUCAAGUAUAACUCAGAUUCUUCAUUCUUAUAACACAUCAUCCUUUAUUUGAGACUGUAUGUGGAAAGCAAAUAAUUAGUCCAUACAAAUCUCGUUGAUAUGGAACAAAGCAUCCCAUACCUAUUUUUUAUCAAGGUUGGCGAUGAGAGACCUCAAAAUACCAACAACAGCAGUAAAAAACUUCCAAUACUCAAGCAAAGUCAUGGUUGCAUAGAAAGCUGUGACAAAACAAGCCAAAAAAUCCAUGCUUCUAGAUUCUUGCAAACAUUAGUCGGCACAUCAAAAUGAAUAGAGGAAAACCUCCAAACCACAAGGAAGCUAUUAGUAGUUGAAUGGGUUGCACUUGGCUCAUAGAUGUUCAAUGGGCUCAAACUUCAGCGAUAUUAGCCGUAGGUGGAUAUUUUUGUAAGCCCCAGCAACUUCAGAGAUUUAAUAGAAAUAGCAUAAUUGGAAUUAUGAAUGGGACCAUUUCCAUUAUAUCCAGCAUCAAAUUAGCUUUCCAACGCAUCUAGAAUUACCUCAAUCAGAGGUCAAAUGAGGAAAUUACUGUCAAAAUACUUAGAUGAUGCCAAAGCUACAGAUUAUGAUGGCUGGAACCCAACCAUUCAACUCAUUUGAAUGGGAAAACCCCAGUCAUAACCCAAUUUUGAGUCCUUGUAGGUGUAGCCAUUAUCUAAGUAAAGGUUACAACUAUGGUAUGUUAGUUGGUUAUGCUUAUGGUUUGAUGUUGAAAUUAGAUAAUUCAAUCUGAACUAACAAAUAUGAAAUCUUCCAAACAAAUUAUUAUUUACACCAACAAUCUAUUAAAUGCAAAAAGAGAUGGAAAUAAAUAUGCUCCACAAAUAGACAAAGAAAAGAUGCACAUGAGCAUCAUUUGAUCAUCAAACAACAAAGACACUUAAAAAAGAAAGCAUUGGAAAUAAAGCAGAGCAAAUAACAGGGUCUAUGAACAUGUAAGGGCAUAGUAGAUACAAGGAUAUUGAGAUGGAUGGGUAGGGUAACAAGCAUGAGUUCAAAAAUAUGCACAUUUUAGAAUACAUAAGAGUAACACAAACAAAAGGUGAAAAAAAGUGAGAGAGAAUAAUUCAAAAAGGUUUAGCUAUGUGCAGCAUAGGCCAAAUAAGAUCCCAAUAAAAAGAAAUUAUAGGAUUUGGAUGAAGGUUAAAAAUAAAAAUAAAAAAGACAAAAAUGGGUUGAGGACUUGGAUGGUAACAAUUAUGGAUCUGAAAACACUUUUCACCUUUGAAGACCUGACCUUCGACAGAAAGUGCUUCCUAAGUCAACCAAAAAAAUGGAACAAAAAGUUUGACUAUGUGAAGCAGCAUCUUUCAAUUUACCUGCCUUUGUCGACGAAUCAUCGUAGCCAAAUCAGUGUAUGGAAGCUUUGGAUCAAUUUUGCAUUCCAUUAGUAUACCUCCAUCAUAGUCUUUGAUAUACCUGAAACGUACAAAUAAUCAAGGUAAGGUAAAUUUUCAAAAGCCGUCAAAACGGGAUGGUACAACCAGUACCAUCCAUUCUAGGUGAAACCAGUACUGGUACAGGUGCAAGGAUGCCCAAACAAUUGUACCAGUAUGUACCGUCCAUAUCGAUCUAUACCACUCUAUACCAAUACAUACCGAUAGGUUAUCGUAUUGAUCUGACAGGUGGUUUUUCAAGUUUUAGAAUAACUUAGUUUUCAUACGUAUCAUCGGUACUGGUAUUCUACCGAUACCAUACCAUUGCAAUAGAAAAACGUUAUAGGGCUCGGUACCAGUAUUUAGAACCUCUUUAACUAUCAUGAAACCAACAUAAAAACAGUAUGUUUGAUAUUUUAUGAAUUAAUCAAUCAUCAAAAUAUUAAAGACAAUGUUGGAGGACACUAGAAAGUGACUCAACAGUGUUUUAAUACCAGAAGACCAGUCUCAUAAUUGUCAUGUAAAAUAUGUGAGAACUAGUGACAAGGUUCAGGAUAAAUCUUGGUAAAGACUAUUUCAGCUUUUAGUGAAGCUCAACCCAAAAUGAUGGGGGUAAAGCUACACUACAAAAUUGUCAAUAGGCAGAUAAGUCUUCAGAAGCAAGCCAAGCUUAAAAAGUCAUAUAGACAAAAUAAUAUGCAUACCCCUGCCAUCUUUCUUUCUCCAAUGUGAUCUCCUUUGUGAAGCCCUAUAAGAACAGAUCAAAUAAUGAGUAUGAUAUUAAAUUCAAUUGGUUCAUGAGAGUAUUUGCAACUUUACAAUUGGACUAUCAGAAUGAUGAUGCUGAUGAUAGCAGAGCAAAGGAAAGUCAGAAAACUGCAUUACAGGUAUAAACAAUCAGCAUAAAAGGAAAACAUGAGCAGCUUUCAAGUGUGUGAUGUGAAGCAGCAGAGAAGCUCCAUUCACGAACACAAGGUCAGUCUUGAAAAGCUCAAACGAGACACCAUCUCCAUGUGAGUGGUGCACGCAUGCACUUGCAUGGGCAUGUGCAUGCGCGCGCGCGCAGAGAGAGAGAGAGAGAGAGUAGCUGUUGUAGGGUACCACCUUAACUAAAAGCCAAAAAUGAUGCAUUGUUAAGAUGUGACGAACAAAAAUGCUAGGUACAACAACUUUUCCAGACCCACCAUGUACCCACAAAACAAGGAUUCGUGUCCAUCAGCGGAAGAAAAAGGAAAAAAAAUGAGCUCUUUAAGAUGUCAAGUGAAAUUUGCAAAGUUGAAUGGAAGCUACAAAUAGAGCACAGCUUAUGGCUUGGUAACAUUGUGGUCGUGAACCAAAAUCAACUUAUAUAGCAAAUAAAAGAGAACUUUGCUAUCUUUCUUCCCUUUUUUGUGUGGCUGAGUAGGGUAAUCAUACCUGCUUUACAAAAUAGCCAACAGCAUUAUUGUCUGCAUAAGUUAGAAAAUGAGUGAGCCCAUCAACAUCACGAGCAUGUUGUUUCAAGUGAUUCAUGAGUCUUGUGCCAUAGCCUUUGACUUGUUCAUCAGCUGUGAUUGCACAAAAUGCAAUCUCUCCAAAUCUCUGACUGCAAGCAAUCAAAGAUCAUAUGUUAAUGGACAAAAUCAUGCAGAUUGAUAUCAACUAGAAUCAUUGUACCAUGACAAAGAUGAAAGGGACAUCUUGCACCUUUUUCAUUACUUUCACAAGUUCAAAUAUAGAAUGAGAUGAUAUAAGAUUAGAUAUAAAUAACACAAAUGCUCCAAUAAUUUAGAGGAAUAGAUUGCUAAGAAAAUAAACAUAAUAAAAAGGGAAGCAGGAAAAAAGAAACAAUAUGUUUGCACAUUUAGACUAGAACAAACACCUAUGAUCUAUCGCCAUCACAUGCUCUCUGUGGGGUUAAUAUUUCAAACAUAUAUUUCCUAAUUGUCAAAUAAAAACCAUAAUGAAACUCUUCGGAUAUCUCACCAGUUGUUUUGGGUAGAAAAGAUAUUGGUAUUUUAUGAGAAGGAAAAAAUUAUUGUUUGCGACAACUACAGAGAUGACUGUGCAAAUGUAACCAGAAUUCAGCGGUCUGGAGGCAUUGGAAUAGUACCAGACACAAGUUUCCAACUUUGAAGAAUUUUCUCCACUUUGGUUACAAGGGAAGACACAAAAUUCACAAAAAGAACAUACAUAGUUUGGAUCAAAAUUAAUAUGGUCAGAUUGGAAGCCAAUUAUCCAACUACAGGUAAGGUUCAGGUUAGGUUGAUUCCCUAAGCCACAGCCCAAACCCAGCUUAGCCUGAAACCUGAUUGAUGUUUAGAAAAAUAGAGAUGACGAGUAAGCACGCUAGCUCAGUGCAGCCCUGAUUGCCAGUUGCUUUGCUUAGUAUAUUUAACAUGGUACGCCAUACCGGCCUGUACUGGUGCAGACUGAUAUUGUACCGAUAUGUGAUAUAGGGUGUACUGAGUAUCAGUAUGCUGAAUCGACCCCCGUAUUAGGCUUAUGAAACACGACAUCAAGAAGGUACCGUUACAAGGUCCAGUACCAAGAUUGCAAACCUUGAGUAUAAAUCAGGCACAAGGACAACCUAAUCAACGUGCAUUCAAGCACAAGUAGUAGCAAGCCUUGUUCUGCUUUUAGCAACUAAAAAGGGUAAUGGAAGGUCAAGAGUUUUGGAAAUUAACUCACCAGUCACCACCCCUUUCACAAGCAACAGCAAUUAACCAGCUGAUCACUAUAGGACAGAUUGGCAAUCACAAGGUCCAGCAAAAGAUGACCAAACAUUGUAAACGGAUGACGAAUAUUUUCAUCAAGUUGGACAGGGCUAUGAACGCCUACAUCAAGAAUUAGCACUAGCUGUUGAGCACAUGGGACAAUUUGAUACCGACACUGACAUUCAGACUCAGAGAGAGUCAGAGAGAGAGAGAGAGAGAGUUUGGAAUAGAUGUAUUAAGAUUUGGUUGGAGAAUGUCAACAUGAGUUCUUCUCAUGUAACAUUUGCUCAGAAAGCAGAUUGAUUUACAUGGAAGAAAGCUCAAAUGAAGAUUUUAAACUGAUUUGAUAGCAAAACCCAAAAAUAUCACAGAACUUAUAAAAUUAAUGAAGGGAUAUAAUUAUUGGAGCCAUUUGAUGCCUGUCGUAUAGAGAAGAGUGCAUUGAUAUGAAUAAAGAUCUAUGAAACAUGAUGGGAAUGAAAUAGAGGAAUAGAUGCAUGUCAUUCAACUCAAGAAUUCUCCACAAUAAUGUCAUGAAUAAAUGAUUCAAGCACCAAAAAUGAUAGCACCGCAGAGCUUAUUGCACAAAAGAGGUACUUGUUGAGGAUCACGUGUGAAGUAAAAUUCCAAAUGAAUGAAUUGUGGAAGAGAGGAUUGAUGCAGAUGAAUGAGCCCAAAACAUAUGUAUGAAUUCUCCACAAUAAUAUCAUGAAUAGAUUAUUCAAGCACCAAAAAUGAUAGCACCAUAGAUCUUUUUCGCAUAAGGGAAGGGGGAAGGAGUCUAAAUUAAUGGACCAAGGUCCGCCAUACCGGGUCCAGUUUGCGUAUCGGUCAUCAACCGGACCGGUACGGUUCCAGUUUGUACCGGAACCGGGCGGUACAAACUGGCCAGCUCUUCCCGCCGGAGCCGGGGAAGAAGAGAACGAGAGAGCGCGUGGAGAAGAGGAGGGAGGAGACCUGUGACCGCCAUCGAAGAGCCGCGGAGGGGCAGAGGAGGGCCGGGGAGGGGGGGGGCGGCAAAGCCUGGCGGGGGGCGGGGGAACCUGCAAGGAGGCGGCUGAGGCCGAGGCCGCGGCCGCAUCCCCUGUUUCAAAAGAAAGAAACAGAGGACGGGGCCGCAGGUUUUUAAUUUGGGGGUUUUAAGUGAAGUGGGCAAAUCGGUUGUCGACUUCUUUCGAAACAGGAGACGCGGUAGCGGCCUCGGCCUCCACGGUGCCCCCGCGAGUUUCCUCACCCCCCACCGGGUUCCGCAGCCCCCCCGGCCUCCGCCACCCCUUCAUGGCUCUCCGAUGGCGGCCACAGAUCUCCUCCCUCCCUCUCUUCCCCGCGCUCUCUCUCCUUCUCUUCAUCUUCUUCGUCUCCGGCACAGAACCGGCCCGUACCGGUUGCCAUGGCUCCGGCGUACCGGUAGCUAACCGAACCGGCCCGUACCGGCCAGUAUCGGCCGGUACAGGCCGGUUCGGCAUACCAUGUAAUGGACAUUAAUGAACCAUCAUUAAUGGACGUUGCACAUGACACGAUCAAUUCGACUCGACGGUCCGGCGCUAAUAGAAGUCGUUUACUCUCCAUCUAGUGAAGGUGCCAGGGCAGGGCUUUUUUCGUAGUAAUAGUGGGCGGGUCGCACAAAAGAUGUUCUUGUUGCGAAUCACGCAUGAAGUGAAAUUCCACAGGAAUGAAUUGUGGAAGAGAGAGGAUUAAUGUAGUUGACUGGACGCAAAGCGUAUGUAUGUAUGUACAUAUGUACAGACUCAAAUCCAGAUAAUAAGACUCCCAGUUCCCCCAACAGCACUCACAGUCUCACACUGUCUGCAUUGUCAUUUUGCAAAUAGUUGCUUUAUCAUGGGAACUACUGGCAAAUAGUUGCUUUAUUAUGUGAACUUCUAAAGAACGUUAGGUUGAAUAUGUUGAGCAGAGAGCUGCUAGAUGGCUGUUUUGAUUCUACUGUUUUCUCAGACAAGUAUCAUUAAGAAAGUAGCUCCCGUAAUAAAAUAAACAAGUUGUUAGCAUCUUCACUCAAGUAAGAAUGAAAGACAACUUAGAGAUAAGAAGAAAACAGAUCAACAGUUUUACCUGAUAUAUGGGCGAUAUGUUAUGCCCCCCACAACUUGAUUAUGCCUAAUAACCAUCAUAGACUUGUGGCUUCUGAAACAGUUACAAAGAAAAUGAACCAGAACAGGUUAAAGAAAAAACAACUGGAAGCCGAAAGAGAAUAUAAACAAGGUCAUCUCAAGAGUUGACAUCUAAACAUAUUGAUAUCAGUGUCAUGUCACUGAUUAAAAUGGACUGGAAAAAGGUAAGAAAAGCUGUGUACAUCCACCAUCAUAUGCAUGAAUUAAUGACUGGGAUUGAUUAGAGAAAACGGCAUUUAACCAACAAAUGGUGAUGAAUACAGAGGUCUUUGAUUUGUGCAAGUAAUUCGUUUAUUGAUAUAUAAUGCAUGUGUUGAUAACCAACAGGUUUGUAACUGUUUCUAUGUUCGAAUAUUAGCACGACUUUUUAUUAGACUAACCUUCAGUAGUCAACUUACAAGUAAAAGGACAAAUGGUCUUUCUAGCACAUAUAGCAGACACCUUAUCUUUAUAAUGCAAAAUAAGGGAUGUAGAGGAUAUGGAACAAAGUAAUAAAAAAAAGCCUUCUUGCAAACCACUAGCAUAAUUAGUGUUGGUUUGUGUUUCCCUUCAUCUGCAAUACUGGUUAUUAAGGAGCCAUAUUUGACAACUUUUGACCACAACAUGUAAAUAUUACAUGGUUACUUAGGGAGACAAGAUGAAGAUUGUUUAGCAAGUGAGGACUUUUUUUCACAAAUUUUGGGGGUGAAUGUUCCUCCACUAAGGUCUUCCAAUUCCUUGUUGGAAUGUGUAGGAAUUCAUUCUUUCUACAAGAUGCUUAUAAGGAAUUCUCAAAAUUCCAAAUCUAUUGCAGCCUUGCAGGUUUGUGUCAAUUAGAGGAGUCCAUAACCCAAUAAUCUAAAGAUUAAGUUCUACUUCAUGAACCAAUUUGAACAUAAAAAAAGUGUUCAAACACUCUUUUUCAUUUAAACGCUGUUUACCCUCUUCCUCUUCCAAGCAGUUCUUACAUCAAUAUGGCCAACAAAAGAAGAAUGUCAGAAAUGUUCGUCACAGUCAACUACAGGAAUAUUGGCAUACAACAUGGUUAUUUAUGGAGAU